UACGUAGGGGGCAAGCGUUGUCCGGAUUUAUUGGGCGUAAAGAGCGCGCAGGCGGCUUGGCAAGUCGGGUGUGAAAUCCCGGGGCUCAACCCCGGGACUGCAUUCGAUACUGUCAGGCUAGAGGUAGGUAGGGGAGAUCGGAAUUCCUGGUGUAGCGGUGAAAUGCGCAGAUAUCAGGAGGAACACCGGUGGCGAAGGCGGAUCUCUGGGCCUUACCUGACGCUCAGGCGCGAAAGCUAGGGGAGCGAACAGG
This 253-nucleotide ribosomal RNA is filed under the name uncultured bacterium. Its description in RNAcentral is "partial 16S ribosomal RNA". It matches the Rfam family "Bacterial small subunit ribosomal RNA", at positions 524 to 776 of the family's 1533-position model. The record is from RNAcentral.